UUUAAUUUGCUGCCAUUUAUAUACUAUAUAAAUUUUACAUGCUGUAUAUUUACAGUGGGGCAAGUGCUUUUUUAAUCUUUAAAAAAACAAAGAUCAAACUUUAGACAUCUCUGAACAACAGCAACUGUAUGAAGCAUACAGAUCAUUCAGAUACAAACUGUAUCCAACACAGUCUCCCCACUCCGUCUCCUGAUGCAGGACCAGUGAAUUCUAAGUGUAUCACAGUUUGAUAGCAUAUCCAUAUUAAAAAUAAAAUCACAGUAUGAUUCUGUCUGUAACUAGAAACUUUAAGGGACCAAGCUGACGACUCAGACUCCAAUAUCAUAGUCAAGACAAGAGACACUGUAUAAAAAAGUGUUAUGUAAUAAAAACAUACUGUAGGCUUUACAAAUAAUGUUUGGAUUAUACAUUCAUAAUGUAAAUACUCAUCAUAACUGGUAAAUUGAUUGGAAUAGUUCCACAAAGUUCAAAAACAGAACUUGUCUAUAAAAUACAUCUUCAAAUCUUGAAUACAACUAAAAUAUGAAGCAAAUUAGUUUCUAGUAUCAGACAUUACAGAAAACACACUGCUCUCAAAAGUCUAGCUGAGAGCCCGUGACUCUUUAAAUAAGUCUUUAAAUUAAGUAUGCACACUGUCGUCUGUCCUUAGCGAUCCCGCGGCCUCCCGGUGGCCGCGCGGCUGUCCGCCUCGGAGGAGCGUUACGUGGACACGGUGAUCAACCUGAGUCUGUGAUUAAGCAGCAUUGAGAUGUUCUAGUCCAGGGCGUUAUUUCAAUGUGAUCUAUAUACAACGUAUUGUACAAUGGUCAGCAGUUGUAGAAAGUGUUCAUCCGUUUGGAAGAAGGGUAAUUAAGAAAAGGUAAAAACUAAAAAAAAAGUUCUUCAUGGUAAAAUCUGUACAGUAUUUACUAAAGAAGCACCACGCAGAUUUGGACAGAGUUCUCCUCUCUCUUUAUAAUUUAAGCUGGGUUGGGGAUGGCUUCUGUUGGACACUCGAAUCUGAAAGACAGGAGGCGGCGGCGUUAGUGCCUGCCGGCGGGUGGCCCCGCGGCGGCCUCCGGGGAGCACGCACGGCUUGGUCGAGACCCCGGGCCGCGGGGAGCUCUUUGCGAGGACGGCGGCCCGCGCGGAGGGCGCCAUCUGCUGGGCGCGGGCCGCCCACCCUUCCCACCCGGCCCGCUCGCGCCGGGGCGGAGCGGCUCCCGGCCUGGCCCUCCCGAGGGCGCGCCCUGAGGCUCGGAGUUAAUGCUCACUGUCCUCUGCAGACGACUCACUGACAUUCAUUCACGGUCCCCCUCGCUGCGAGAAGUACAUUUGGACAAAGUUCCCUUUCAGCAGCAAAAUGGCUCGCUUCCCCUCCGCCUCGGCAGGUGCAGGGCGCCCUGCACGAACUACGGACUCCCGGGGCCCCUGAGUGACAUGCCAGCGGGAAGUUACUUGACGCCCAGGUUCUGAUCUGCUUUAAAGCACCCAAACUGCAUCCGGAUAAAGCAAAGUCCCUGUGUGAAUGGGCGCGAGGUCGCCCACCUCGGUGGUUCCCAGGUCUGCACAGGGGUCGGUGCCCCGGGCCGGCCGGGCGGGGGCGGCUGACCCCUGUCCCCAAAGCCG
This is a long non-coding RNA of Equus asinus (donkey), 1608 nucleotides long. The record is from Ensembl. Lineage: Eukaryota; Metazoa; Chordata; Mammalia; Perissodactyla; Equidae.